GGCUCAGAUUGAACGCUGGCGGCAGGCCUAACACAUGCAAGUCGAGCGGUAGAGAGAAGCUUGCUUCUCUUGAGAGCGGCGGACGGGUGAGUAAUGCCUAGGAAUCUGCCUGGUAGUGGGGGAUAACGUUCGGAAACGGACGCUAAUACCGCAUACGUCCUACGGGAGAAAGCAGGGGACCUUCGGGCCUUGCGCUAUCAGAUGAGCCUAGGUCGGAUUAGCUAGUUGGUGAGGUAAUGGCUCACCAAGGCGACGAUCCGUAACUGGUCUGAGAGGAUGAUCAGUCACACUGGAACUGAGACACGGUCCAGACUCCUACGGGAGGCAGCAGUGGGGAAUAUUGCACCAUGGGCGAAAGCCUGAUCCAGCCAUGCCGCGUGUGUGAAGAAGGUCUUCCGACAGAAUAAUAAAAAUCGUAGAAUCUGAACUCCGCUCUCNGUCGACUU
This 446-nucleotide ribosomal RNA is filed under the name uncultured Pseudomonas sp. Its description in RNAcentral is "bacterial SSU rRNA". It matches the Rfam family "Bacterial small subunit ribosomal RNA", at positions 21 to 475 of the family's 1533-position model. Lineage: Bacteria; Pseudomonadati; Pseudomonadota; Gammaproteobacteria; Pseudomonadales; Pseudomonadaceae. The record is from RNAcentral.